RNAcentral lists this ribosomal RNA (491 nucleotides) under uncultured bacterium. RNAcentral describes it as "partial 16S ribosomal RNA". It matches the Rfam family "Bacterial small subunit ribosomal RNA", at positions 29 to 507 of the family's 1533-position model. The record is from RNAcentral.
GUGAACGCUGGCGGUAGGCCUAACACAUGCAAGUCGAACGGCAGCACAGUAAGAGCUUGCUCUUACGGGUGGCGAGUGGCGGACGGGUGAGGAAUACAUCGGAAUCUACUUUUUCGUGGGGGAUAACGUAGGGAAACUUACGCUAAUACCGCAUACGACCUACGGGUGAAAGCAGGGGAUCUUCGGACCUUGCGCGAUUGAAUGAGCCGAUGUCGGAUUAGCUAGUUGGCGGGGUAAAGGCCCACCAAGGCGACGAUCCGUAGCUGGUCUGAGAGGAUGAUCAGCCACACUGGAACUGAGACACGGUCCAGACUCCUACGGGAGGCAGCAGUGGGGAAUAUUGGACAAAGGGCGCAAGCCUGAUCCAGCCAUACCGCGUGGGGGAAGAAGGCCUUCGGGUUGUAAAGCCCUUUUGUUGGGAAAGAAAAGCAGCAGGUUAAUACCCCGCUGUUCUGACGGUACCCAAAGAAUAAGCACCGGCUAACUUCGUG